CCCUUAGAUGUUCUGGGCUGCACGCGCGCUACACUGAAGCUAUCAACACGUUUUCCCUCCUGAGAAGGGCGGGUAACCUUUUGAAUCAGCUUCGUGGUAGGGAUCGGGGCUUGCAAUUGUUCCCCGUGAACCAGGAAUUCCUAGUAGACGCGAGUCAUAAGCUCGCAUCGAUUAAGUCCCUGCCCUUUGUACACACCGCCCGUCGCUACUACCGAUUGAACGUUUUAGUGAGGCAUUUGGACCGACGCAUCUCAGUUUAACCGCUGGUUUGUGUUGGAAAGACUUCCAAACUUGAGCGUUUAGAGGAAGUAAAAGUCGUAACA
Molecule: ribosomal RNA, 323 nt
Filed under: uncultured eukaryote
Lineage: Eukaryota
Description: partial 18S ribosomal RNA
Rfam family: Eukaryotic small subunit ribosomal RNA
Source: RNAcentral